This is a long non-coding RNA of Mercurialis annua (annual mercury), 828 nucleotides long. RefSeq lists it as uncharacterized. Lineage: Eukaryota; Viridiplantae; Streptophyta; Magnoliopsida; Malpighiales; Euphorbiaceae. The record is from RefSeq and is a predicted model, not a curated record. The transcript has 3 exons.
UUUUAUUUUGGUAUUUAAUGUUUACAUUCUGUUUAGUAAAUGUUACUUUUAUGUUGAUUUCCUAGGCUGUGAAUAGAAGAUCAAGUUCUGGUGUUUUGAAUAAAAAAACUUCUUCUGAAAUUGUUGAUACUAAAGAAGAACAAGCUGAUGAGUGCAAUAAGCCUGUGAAGAAUAAGUCUCCUUCUUCUGCUGUUAAGAAAAAAGCUUCUCUUCAGUCACCUAAAUCUGAAGUAGUUAUUGGUGAUCCCAGUCAGAUGUGGUCUCCCCGAUGGAAUCAUACUCAAUAUUCUUCUACAAGGGUUGAUCACUGUAUGAAGCAGAAAGUUGUGGAUAAUUUGAAAAGGAAUUUGUCUGAGGAGCAACUUAAACUGUUUAAGGAGACUUCUUUUGGUUUUGUUUUGGAUUUGCCUGCUUUUUAGUUUGCAUGGUCAAGUGAUACACUCUCUCCUGUCAAGACAGCUUAAUCAUCCGCAACGAGACGAACUUUGGAUUGGUGUUAACAAUUUAAGAAUUAGAUUCAGCAUAGAGGAAUUUGCUGUGCUAACUGGUCUGAAUUGUGUUGGGGAAAUUCAGAAGAUUGUUGAUGUUGAUAAGACUAAUUCUUUGGUCGAGAAGUAUUUUGUUGGCGUAUCCAAGUUGAACAGACAGUCCGUUACAGAGUGCUUUUUGUCUAAGCGAUGGGAGUCGGACGAAGAUGCUGUUAAAAUUGCUUUUUUGUAUGUGUUAGAAAUAUAUUUUCUGUCUGCUGUUGAUGUUACUUUGGUGGAGCGGCACCAUUUAGACAUUAUUGAUUCCGGGGACUAUAACUCAUACCCGUGGGGUAAAGAA